GGCCGCCUGGCGAAAUGGCAUCGCGUCUGACUACGACUCGGUGUAAUCAGGAGAUUGCAGGUUCGACCCCUGCGGUGGUCA
Non-coding RNA from Postia placenta Mad-698-R, 81 nucleotides. The record is from Rfam. Lineage: Eukaryota; Fungi; Basidiomycota; Agaricomycetes; Polyporales; Adustoporiaceae.